GGCAGGGAUUUUGAGACCACAACUCUUCUCUGCUUCUUAAAAGCCUUUCCCUGGGAGAAGCUGUAGGACGCGGCGGAAUGUCUUUCUUCUUUGUGUCUGUGCUGGCUAAAGCAGGACAGAGGAGCUUGAAAAGGCUCGCCCUCCUCAAGGAACGUUAUCUGAUUCGUAAGCAUUCCUAGAGGUUAAGGCUGGUGACUAUCAAGAAAGCAAAUACUUCACGCAAGGCAAUAAAAACAUAGAGAUGUUGCAACCCAAGUACCCAAGUGAAGACAAAGCUCCAUCUGAGGAUGCCUUGGGUUCCAGAAGGUUCAGGUUCACAGCAUGAGCUUGGAGACUGGCUGUUGAGAAAAUACUGGCUGGUGAAAUAUUCUUCUCUCAAGAGGCUUGGUCGAUCGUCUCCCUUUUCCCUCAUCUGCUGGUAUAUCACACUGGAAAAGCAUCUCCUCUCUGCUGGAAAAACCUCUGACUACCUUGUAUUCUAGGACAGAAAGCCCCAAAUGGCAUCAAACUGGUCAGCUCCAGCUCGGUAUUCCCAGCCAGAUGUUCCUCAGGGGGCCAGGGGGUGUCCCCACAACAGCUGGGGACCGUAAGGCACCUGCACGGAAGCUGCAGGGCCUCUCCCAGUGACCCCAGCUGCAGGAGCACUGCUGUUUGCUGGGGCUCUGGAAUGUUCCUCACCCAGCUGUGCUCCGCUGGACGCUUCCCAGUGGACUGGAAGAGGAGUGCUGACAGCAUGGUGACACUAACCUUGGCCAGCUGACAACCCAAAGUUGCCUCCACACACCCUGGAUUGGACCCAUUGUCCUUCCUUUGACCCUCAGCUCCUUCCUCUG
Molecule: long non-coding RNA, 833 nt
Filed under: Cyanistes caeruleus (blue tit)
Lineage: Eukaryota; Metazoa; Chordata; Aves; Passeriformes; Paridae
Description: lncRNA (ENSCCEG00000023842.1)
Source: RNAcentral